UUAGAGUUUGAUCCUGGCUCAAGACGAACGCUGGCGGCGCGCCUAACACAUGCAAGUCGAACGAGCGAGAGAGAGCUUGCUUUCUCGAGCGAGUGGCGAACGGGUGAGUAACGCGUGAGGAACCUGCCUCAAAGAGGGGGACAACAGUUGGAAACGACUGCUAAUACCGCAUAAGCCCACGGGUCGGCAUCGACCAGAGGGAAAAGGAGCAAUCCGCUUUGAGAUGGCCUCGCGUCCGAUUAGCUAGGUGGUGAGGUAACGGCCCACCAAGGCAACGAUCGGUAGCCGGACUGAGAGGUUGAACGGCCACAUUGGGACUGAGACACGGCCCAGACUCCUACGGGAGGCAGCAGUGGGGAAUAUUGCACAAUGGGGGAAACCCUGAUGCAGCGACGCCGCGUGGAGGAAGAAGGUCUUCGGAUUGUAAACUCCUGUUGUUGAGGAAGAUAAUGACGGUACUCAACAAGGAAGUGACGGCUAACUACGUGCCAGCAGCCGCGGUAAAACGUAGGUCACAAGCGUUGUCCGGAAUUACUGGGUGUAAAGGGAGCGCAGGCGGGAAGACAAGUUGGAAGUGAAAUCCAUGGGCUCAACCCAUGAACUGCUUUCAAAACUGUUUUUCUUGAGUAGUGCAGAGGUAGGCGGAAUUCCCGGUGUAGCGGUGGAAUGCGUAGAUAUCGGGAGGAACACCAGUGGCGAAGGCGGCCUACUGGGCACCAACUGACGCUGAGGCUCGAAAGUGUGGGUAGCAAACAGGAUUAGAUACCCUGGUAGUCCACACCGUAAACGAUGAUUACUAGGUGUUGGAGGAUUGACCCCUUCAGUGCCGCAGUUAACACAAUAAGUAAUCCACCUGGGGAGUACGACCGCAAGGUUGAAACUCAAAGGAAUUGACGGGGGCCCGCACAAGCAGUGGAGUAUGUGGUUUAAUUAGACGCAACGCGAAGAACCUUACCAAGUCUUGACAUCCCUUGACGAUGCUGGAAACAGUAUUUCUCUUCGGAGCAAGGAGACAGGUGGUGCAUGGUUGUCGUCAGCUCGUGUCGUGAGAUGUUGGGUUAAGUCCCGCAACGAGCGCAACCCUUAUGGUCAGUUACUACGCAAGAGGACUCUGGCCAGACUGCCGUUGACAAAACGGAGGAAGGUGGGGAUGACGUCAAAUCAUCAUGCCCUUUAUGACUUGGGCUACACACGUACUACAAUGGCGUUAAACAAAGAGAAGCAAGACCGCGAGGUGGAGCAAAACUCAGAAACAACGUCCCAGUUCGGACUGCAGGCUGCAACUCGCCUGCACGAAGUCGGAAUUGCUAGUAAUCGUGGAUCAGCAUGCCACGGUGAAUACGUUCCCGGGCCUUGCAC
RNAcentral lists this ribosomal RNA (1359 nucleotides) under uncultured bacterium. RNAcentral describes it as "16S ribosomal RNA". It matches the Rfam family "Bacterial small subunit ribosomal RNA". The record is from RNAcentral.